Molecule: long non-coding RNA, 366 nt
Filed under: Astyanax mexicanus (Mexican tetra)
Lineage: Eukaryota; Metazoa; Chordata; Actinopteri; Characiformes; Acestrorhamphidae
Description: lncRNA (ENSAMXG00005014941.1)
Source: RNAcentral
AGUGCUGCAGCUCCUCCUCCUCCUCCUCCUCUUCGGUCUGUCUGCUGCUGCUGCUCUGAGCUCGAGACCGCAGGAAGUUUCAGCAGCAGCUCAGUCGCGCGCGUGUUCUCUGCGCUCGCUCCACGCGGGGAUGAAUGGCAGGCAGGCAGGGUCUUUAGGGCUUGUCACCGUCGAUUCCGCCCGUUUUACCGGGAUGAAGAGAUCACGAGAUGGAGCGUGAGCGCGCUGUGUGGACCCUGACCUCACAGUUCUCUCCAGCGGUUCCCCCCGUGCGGUUUCGGGCGAAUGGCAAACGUGAAAGUGGCGAUUCGGGUUCGGCCCCUGAACUCCAGCUCUCCAACAGUGCCAAUAAAAGCCAGACUUGGG